UUCUAAGUAGAGGUAGGGUUUUUCCGAUUGGUAUUCAACUGCUUCGGCAUUUUCGAGUUUCAAUAACCCUUUCUCCAAUAAUCUAUAGGAACACAACACCCACACCACAAUUAACCCGAUUACCACCAUUCGACCGGAUUUGAUAUUACAAUCUAAAUCCCUGUUGUUUGGUUGUAUUCAGACGCAGAUCUUAUAAUGCCGAAAAGAGGACGGCCAAGCAAUUCGCAGCAAACCCAGCAAGAUGAAAAUUCAGUCGUGGGUUCAGCUUCCUGAUGGUAACUGGGAGCUGGGGACAGUUCUUCAGGCUACUGGUAAUGAUUCAGUGAUAACAUCGCCUGAGGGAAAAGGGUACUGAAAGUGAGUUCAGAAACUCCGAUACCAGCAAAUCCUGAUAUUCUUGAUGGUGUAUAUGAUCUCAUGGAAUUAAGUUACCUGAAUGAAUCAU
Molecule: long non-coding RNA, 445 nt
Organism: Salvia splendens (bonfire salvia)
Lineage: Eukaryota; Viridiplantae; Streptophyta; Magnoliopsida; Lamiales; Lamiaceae
Exons: 3
Source: RefSeq, a predicted model, not a curated record